Molecule: ribosomal RNA, 821 nt
Filed under: uncultured Acidobacteriota bacterium
Lineage: Bacteria; Pseudomonadati; Acidobacteriota
Description: bacterial SSU rRNA
Rfam family: Bacterial small subunit ribosomal RNA
Source: RNAcentral
CAAGUCGAACGCGAAAGUCCCGCAAGGGAUUAGUAGAGUGGCAAACGGGUGAGUAACACGUGGGUGACCUGCCUUCGAGUGGGGGAUAACGUCCCGAAAGGGACGCUAAUACCGCAUGACAUCCUGCCUUUGAAGAGGCGGAGAUCAAAGCUGGGGAUCGCAAGACCAAGCGCUCAAAGAGGGGCCCGCGCCUGAUUAGCUAGUUGGCGAGGUAACGGCUCACCAAGGCAUCGAUCAGUAUCCGGCCUGAGAGGGCGGACGGACACACUGGGACUGAGACACGGCCCAGACUCCUACGGGAGGCAGCAGUGGGGAAUUGUUCGCAAUGGGCGCAAGCCUGACGACGCAACGCCGCGUGGAGGAUGAAGACCUUCGGGUCGUAAACUCCUUUCGAUCGAGACGAAUGGCCUCCGGGUUAACAGCCCGGAGGAGUGACGGUACCGAGAGAAGAAGCCCCGGCUAACUCCGUGCCAGCAGCCGCGGUAAUACGGGGGGGGCAAGCGUUGUUCGGAAUUACUGGGCGUAAAGGGCUCGUAGGCGGCCAACUAAGUCAGACGUGAAAUCCCUCGGCUUAACCGGGGAACUGCAUCUGAUACUGGAUGGCUUGAGUUCGGGAGAGGGAUGUGGAAUUCCAGGUGUAGCGGUGAAAUGCGUAGAUAUCUGGAGGAACACCGGUGGCGAAGGCGGCAUCCUGGACGACACUGACGCUGAGGAGCGAAAGCCAGGGGAGCAAACGGGAUUAGAUACCCCGGUAGUCCUGGCCCUAAACGAUGAAUGCUUGGUGUGGCGGGUAUCGAUCCCUGCCGUGCCGAAGCUAACGC